This 331-nucleotide ribosomal RNA is filed under the name uncultured eukaryote. Its description in RNAcentral is "partial 18S ribosomal RNA". It matches the Rfam family "Eukaryotic small subunit ribosomal RNA", at positions 1470 to 1796 of the family's 1831-position model. The record is from RNAcentral.
CCCUUAGAUGUUCUGGGCCGCACACGCGCUACACUGGCAGGUUCAUCGAGCUUCAUGCCCUGAUCUGAGAAGAACGGGAAAUUUUUGAACACCUGCCGUGCUUGGGAUAGAUGUUUGCAAUUAUUCAUCUUCAACGAGGAUUGCCUUGUAAGCGCACGUCAUCAGCGUGCAUUGAAUACGACCCUGUAUUCUGUACACACCGCCCGUCGCUCCUACCGAUUGAAGUUUUCGGUGAAUUUACUGGAGAUCCCUUUUGAAGGUGGUUCGCCACUGGAAGAAGUAUUCAAAAGUAAAUGAAUCGAAUGCUUUAGAGGAAGGAGAAGUCGUAACA